This 100-nucleotide small nucleolar RNA is filed under the name Macleaya cordata. RNAcentral's name for it is "small nucleolar RNA snoR128". It matches the Rfam family "small nucleolar RNA snoR128". The record is from Rfam by way of RNAcentral. Lineage: Eukaryota; Viridiplantae; Streptophyta; Magnoliopsida; Ranunculales; Papaveraceae.
UUGCAAUGUUGAAAGCUUAAAACUCAUUGAAAGUAUGUGUGCUUGAUGUGAGAUUUGACAUGGUAAUGACCAUGUUGAUCCUGAGCGGUUACCUGAGCAA